CAUGCUCAGAUUGAACGCUGGCGGCAGGCCUAACACAUGCAAGUCGAGCGGAUGAAGGGAGCUUGCUCCUGGAUUCAGCGGCGGACGGGUGAGUAAUGCCUAGGAAUCUGCCUGGUAGUGGGGGAUAACGUCCGGAAACGGGCGCUAAUACCGCAUACGUCCUGAGGGAGAAAGUGGGGGAUCUUCGGACCUCACGCUAUCAGAUGAGCCUAGGUCGGAUUAGCUAGUUGGUGGGGUAAAGGCCUACCAAGGCGACGAUCCGUAACUGGUCUGAGAGGAUGAUCAGUCACACUGGAACUGAGACACGGUCCAGACUCCUACGGGAGGCAGCAGUGGGGAAUAUUGGACAAUGGGCGAAAGCCUGAUCCAGCCAUGCCGCGUGUGUGAAGAAGGUCUUCGGAUUGUAAAGCACUUUAAGUUGGGAGGAAGGGCAGUAAGUUAAUACCUUGCUGUUUUGACGUUACCAACAGAAUAAGCACCGGCUAACUUCGUGCCAGCAGCCGCGGUAAUACGAAGGGUGCAAGCGUUAAUCGGAAUUACUGGGCGUAAAGCGCGCGUAGGUGGUUCAGCAAGUUGGAUGUGAAAUCCCCGGGCUCAACCUGGGAACUGCAUCCAAAACUACUGAGCUAGAGUACGGUAGAGGGUGGUGGAAUUUCCUGUGUAGCGGUGAAAUGCGUAGAUAUAGGAAGGAACACCAGUGGCGAAGGCGACCACCUGGACUGAUACUGACACUGAGGUGCGAAAGCGUGGGGAGCAAACAGGAUUAGAUACCCUGGUAGUCCACGCCGUAAACGAUGUCGACUAGCCGUUGGGAUCCUUGAGAUCUUAGUGGCGCAGCUAACGCGA
This 846-nucleotide ribosomal RNA is filed under the name Pseudomonas aeruginosa. RNAcentral's name for it is "bacterial SSU rRNA". It matches the Rfam family "Bacterial small subunit ribosomal RNA", at positions 19 to 860 of the family's 1533-position model. The record is from RNAcentral. Lineage: Bacteria; Pseudomonadati; Pseudomonadota; Gammaproteobacteria; Pseudomonadales; Pseudomonadaceae.